GAUGAACGCUGGCGGCGUGCUUAACACAUGCAAGUCGAACGGUGAACACGGAGCUUGCUCUGUGGGAUCAGUGGCGAACGGGUGAGUAACACGUGAGCAACCUGCCCCUGACUCUGGGAUAAGCGCUGGAAACGGUGUCUAAUACUGGAUACGAGUAGCGGCCGCAUGGUCAGUUACUGGAAAGAUUUUUUGGUUGGGGAUGGGCUCGCGGCCUAUCAGCUUGUUGGUGAGGUAAUGGCUCACCAAGGCGUCGACGGGUAGCCGGCCAGAGAGGGUGACCGGCCACACUGGGACGGAGACACGGCCCAGACUCCUACGGGAGGCAGCAGUGGGGAAUAUUGCACAAUGGGCGAAAGCCUGAUGCAGCAACGCCGCGUGAGGGAUGACGGCCUUCGGGUUGUAAACCUCUUUUAGCAGGGAAGAAGCGAAAGUGACGGUACCUGCAGAAAAAGCGCCGGCUAACUACGUGCCAGCCGCCGCGGUAA
Molecule: ribosomal RNA, 485 nt
Filed under: uncultured bacterium
Lineage: Bacteria
Description: partial 16S ribosomal RNA
Rfam family: Bacterial small subunit ribosomal RNA
Source: RNAcentral